GUCAUACUGGGCCAUACUGGAAGGCACUGGGCCAUACUGGGUCAUCCUGGGUGAUAUUGGGAAGCACUGGGAUAUACUGGGAUAUACUGGGAGGGACCGGGCCAUACUGGGUCAUACUGGGAUGCAAUGGGAGGGAUAGGGAGGCACUGGGCCAUACUGGGUCAUACUGGGCCAUACUGGGCCAUACUGGGAGGCAAUGGGAGGGAUAGGGAGGCACUGGGCCAUACUGGGCCAUACUGGGUCAUACUGGGCCAUACUGGGAGGCAAUGGGAGGGAUAGGGAGGCACUGGGCCAUACUGGGUCAUACUGGGUCAUACUGGGCCAUACUGGGCCAUACUGGGAGGCAAUGGGAGGGAUAGGGAGGCACUGGGCCAUACUGGGAGGGACUGGGAGGCAAUGGGAGGGAUAGGAAGGUACUGGGCCAUACUGAGCCCUACUAGUCCCUACUGGUCCUUACUGGUCCUUACUGGUCUCUACUGGUCCCUCCUGGUCCCCCCUGGUCUGUAUUGGUCCUCAUUGAUUCCUACUGGUCCUUACUGGUCUCUACUGGUCCUUACUGGUCCCUCCUGAUCCCUACUGGUCUGUAUUGGUCCUUAUUGGUCCCUACUGGUCCUUACUGGUCCUACUGGUCCUUACUGGUCCCUAUAAGUUUCUCCUGGUCUAUACUGGGCCAUACUGGUCUAUACCGGUCCCUAAUGGCUCCUCCUGGUCCCUACUGGUCUAUACUGGUCCCUACUAGGCCAUACUGUUCCCUCCUGGUUUCUACUGGUCCUUAUUGGUCUAUACUGGUCCCUACUGGUCCCUCUUUGUCCCUACUGGUCCUUACUGAUCUAUACUGGUCCCUACAGGCCCCUCCAGGUCUAUACUGGUCCAUACUGGUCCCUAAUGGUCCCUCCUUGUCCCUUAUGGUCUAUACUGGUCCCUAUUGCUCCCUCCAGGUCCCUCCAGCCCUAUACUGGUCCAUACUGGUCCCUAUUGCUCCCUAAUGGUCCCUCCAGCCCUAUACUGGUCCAUACUGGUCUGUACUGGUCCCUAAUAGUCCCUCCAGCCCUAUACU
This 1057-nucleotide long non-coding RNA is filed under the name Coturnix japonica (Japanese quail). Its description in RNAcentral is "lncRNA (ENSCJPG00005002806.1)". Lineage: Eukaryota; Metazoa; Chordata; Aves; Galliformes; Phasianidae. The record is from RNAcentral.